This 204-nucleotide long non-coding RNA is filed under the name Manihot esculenta (cassava). RNAcentral describes it as "long non-coding RNA (MESC_LNC011458)". Lineage: Eukaryota; Viridiplantae; Streptophyta; Magnoliopsida; Malpighiales; Euphorbiaceae. The record is from RNAcentral.
UGUUGAUACCAUCCUGUGGGGAGGGAUAGGGAUUGGUCCAAUUCCAUGCAUUACUUCUAUUUUGAACUCUAUCUCCCUGACAGGUGAUAGUCCUGGGAACUCAUCUGGGGAAACAUCUAAACUCUCUAACAAUGGGCACUGAGGCGGGCUCCCUGACCUGACUGCUAUACUCUCUCUGAAGAGCUAGAACCCCUGACAACUUUU